RNAcentral lists this long non-coding RNA (249 nucleotides) under Vulpes vulpes (red fox). RNAcentral describes it as "lncRNA (ENSVVUG00000014225.1)". Lineage: Eukaryota; Metazoa; Chordata; Mammalia; Carnivora; Canidae. The record is from RNAcentral.
AUGCAGAAUCUAGAACAAUACAUGAAUCUAGGAUAUGCUGCCUUCCCCACGCUUGCCUCUCUGGUUCUACAGCAGCAGCCUAUCUUCUGUCUGCUUGGUUUAGGAAGCUCCUUCUUCAGGGUUUCUGAAUUGCUGGCCUUUUGGUGACGUUUGGCGCAACAACCCUCUCUACCUAUAACCCACAUCGCUGACCUCAGAGCUCAAUGAACGUUUCAUUUACAUGCACAGUCAAAUUAAAUUUGCCCAGCC